GCCACUAAUCUUCACUUACUAGAAAACUCAUCGUUGGACUUCAUAGAAGAAUUAAGAAUUUAUCAUGGCUAUGACACAUUUAGACAAGCUCGGAUGUUAAAGAAAGAGGGGAAUAUAAUGUGUAUGCUAUAUGAUGAUAAAGGCAAGAUUCGGUUACCUAACCCGAACCUUGGCCUCUACGCUGUGCAAAACUUUUUGAUUGAGAUUGCAGCAACACCAGUGAACCAGAGAACUCCACAGCGAGUGGCAUCUGAAAGGAUAACCACUCACCGAGAACGCACUUGGUAUGGAGCUGACCCUGGACCAGAAGAAGCAGCGCACCUGCAUUAUUGCGAUUACAAUCCACGAGUCCUUCGAGACCCAUGGGCUCGUCAUGCGCAACCACAAGAGCCAACUGAGGAGACAUGGCCGGAGAGCCAAGAUCACCAGUGGACAAACCCGCCUUUUCAUACGGGCAGGUACUCCACUGAUCCAUAUGGAGCUUCAGGAUCCAGACCUCCACCCCAAUUUGAUGCAGGACGAUACUCCGACGCCUCCUACGCCUUCACGAAUGACUACUAUCAAGAGGCCGGUGCUUUCUUCACUCGUACCGACAACACCCUCCUCGACAUCCAGAAUACGCAAGCAGAACAUGGAAGACUCCUGGAAGAGCAACAAAAAUGGAACCAGGACCAUGCCGCUGCAGUAGAAGAGCUGAGACAAGAUACAACAACAAUGAACGACAACAUCACAACCAUGAUGCGGUUCUGGAACAUCGGGUAAGACCGACGUCAACAUCCAGCUUGGGGGAGUUCCUCCCAAAUUUAUCAAGUAAGUUUUUAUUUGCUGUUCUUAUUUAUUCUAUUAUGUCUUAGUAUUUAAUUUAUCUUAAAAGAAAAAACUUAGAAAACCAAAUAAAUAUUUUCUUGCUUUAAUUUACUGCAUUCUAUAAACAUGAAAACAAAAUAAAAAGAGUGUGUAGAUAAGUGUGCUUUAUUUUUCUGCUAAGUUUAAUCUCUAGAAAAAAUAAAAAGACCAAAAAUAUGCAUGAUGGAAAUGAUGAACAGUUGAUCUGUUUGCUUACUUACAAGUACCUAGCUUUUAUAUUAGAAUUCUUCCAGGAAUUACUAAAACUAAAAUUACUAUCUUUGGAAAGCAUAAAACUAAAGUCUAGGUAAGAUAAAGACAUGAUAUAAAGUUGAGCUACUGUUUAUCUUGUUCCUACUACACUAAGUUCUGGAGAUUUAUUUUGAAAACUUAUGAAGCACAUGAUGAGUUCCUAGCAUAACAAACUACUUACCACAGCCAUACUUGCUAUAACAUCUUUUACUACAUUUACAUUGAGUUUGAUCGAGCUGUGUCGACCCUUAGGAGCUUUUCAUGUGGUUAAAUUAAGAUAUUCACUUGCACACAUCUACCACAGCAUCCACCACCAUUCAUUAAAAUUGUUAAAAAUAUUAUCACUCACUGUCCCAAGUAUUGUUAUUCUCUCUCUCUAAAAAAUUCAAUGCAGAAGAGGCAUGGGUUAUGCAAAAAUAUACGAGGAAAUAAAAAGGGGCAAGUGCCCGGAAACCUCGGGAAAAGAAAGAAAAAGAGUGAGACGAGAGGUAAAAAUGGACAAGUGUCCGAAGUAGAAUUAGGGGUACAAAGAUGCCCACUUGAGCGGAAAAAAUGGACAAGUGUCCGACAAUAGAAUUAGGGGUAUCUACUACCCACCUAAAAAAAAGAGAAAAGAAAAGAAAAAGAUAGCCCAUGUUCUCCCAAGGCAAAGAUCAAAGAAGAGGAGAGAUAGCAAUAUAAGGAGCAAUGAGAACUAAGUUUUAUUAUCACUUAUGCAUUUUCACCAUCACUAUCAUUUACUCCACCACACAUGCACAUCUUGAUUUAAUUAUAUGCUGAGUUCCUUUGGAUCCAUGGCUCGAUUAGACAACAUUUGUAUGAGCUGUUUUUCACUCCUAUGAGCUCCACUUAAAUAUUCCAUUAGCUAUAGGUAAGUGACAUUAUGGUAAGGAUCCACAAAUACCACAUAUAGAGAGACUUGAGAGAAUCAUUGCUAGGAACUCUGAGUUUUAUUUUGAAAACUUAUGAAAAACUCUAGAACAAAGGUGAAGUAUAGACAGGAGGGAUAGUGCUUGACUUAACUAUUUUGUCUUUCGAUUACUUAAGACUUAAGUGCAGGUACUAAACUUCAUAAUACUUCACUUUAAUCUGGAAGAAUUUUUAUGUAGAAGCAUGUGUGCCUGUCAGGAAAGAAAACAUCGAAGCAACUCCUGAUCCGUCUGAGUUUAGCUAUUUGCUCAGGGACGAGCAAAGGGUAAGCUUGGGGGAGUUUGUUGACGGUCCUUAAGUACUAAAAUUAAUAAUCAAAUAAACAUGAAAAAGGAUCAAUAUGAAACAAACAUCUAGAAUUAGGGUUUUAUCUGACAAAAUUCCACGAGCUUUGGUGUUUAUCUAUUUCUGCAGGGGUUUAUCAGAAAAUAUGGAGAGAAGGCCCACAUGUCAUGUUUACAACGAGAUAAUUACGUGCUGCGCAAUUUUCCUCAAUCUAGAAGGAUCCAGAAGCCACGGGAACGAACGGGACGCGAAUCGGGCUCGGGAGCUGGGCGGCCGCCCACCCCCCUUGGGCGCCCGCCCUGGCCAGGAAGCCAAUCAGGACUCUGUUUCGGGGCAAGACUCCACCGACCUAAAGGAUCAAUCUAAACCAUACAAUCUAUGUCAGUUUGAUCCAAUGGCUCACGUUCACUUGAGGGGACUAUAAAACCCGACCCCCUGGCCCCUGGAGGAGAGGAGGAGAAAUCAUUAUUCAGAGGUAGCCAUCAAAGUUAGGGUUUAGAGCUUCUCUCCCACAGAGAAUUAGAAUUAGCUACUCCCUAAUCCUUCAAGUUUAGAGGUUUGAUUAGAUAGCAAUUAGAGAAGUAGAGCACUACGCUCUGGAUUCGGAUCUUCGGUAAUAAAGAUUGGUAUUAUUCAUAUCUUUCUCUAAUUCUAUUGUUCUAAUUACAUUAUGUCUCUAAUUAUUAUGUUCUUAGUUUGCUCUAGUUCUAUAUUUGAUAUAGUUAUGAUUGAUAAUGAGUUUAUGUAUAAGUUUGCAAAGCGCUUAGCUCUUGUCGCGAGGGAGUUAGGUGAUAGAUCACAUGUGAGCAUGGUGCUUAGAUGUUAUUUAUCUGCAAAUGUAUCCUAUUGGCUGGGUCGUGUGGUAGUUCGCGAUAGUGACAGCUUCGUUGAUUCUUAUAUAGUCCACCCUCCGUUGAUAGGACAGGCAGAACCGGUAUUGUGGAGUAAGUCAUGCGAUGUUCUGAUUUACUUUAUCAAUGUUCCUUAUACAUGAAUGAAGAGUCUUUUAUGCUAUACAUGAUCUUGUAGAUAACUAGAGUAGAUUAUGACUUAGUAGUUAGUAGAUGACUUAGAAUCCAUUCUCUAGCUAAUCCGACAUCACCUACAUAUAUGAGGAGUAGUCUAUUUUCUAAUCGCUGUGCUCUUUAUCCCAUGAACUUAUACUUUAUUAUCAAUUAUCUUUAUGGUUUACCCCCUGCUAAAGUAAGUGACUGUGUGACGAGUUUCUCAUUAGUAAUCAUAUUCUUGCAAGUUUAUCUCUAGUCUACGCCUUGAUAGAUUUUGCCCCUUUGAUUUAAUUCCAUCUUCUUAAGAUCCCCUAAGCAAAAUUAUAAAUAACGAUACCUGGAAUACUUAUCCUGGUGAAAUGCUACAAUGAGGUGUUUUAUCUGUGCGCUUGCGGAUAGAAUAGAUUAUUUUCUAGAGAGCCUUUACAUUUAUAAAUACCUUUGUACACUCUAGCGCCAUGCUAGGGAUGACAACCUAGUAUCUAAGUGGUGUUAGUUAGUGUCAACAACAAGGCGCUGCCGAUGGACCGACCAGGAAAUCCCGCACAGUGAAAUAUCUCUAGAUUAUGACCGCUUCCUGUCAAAUCACCUGCGCAAUCCCUUGAUUAUCGUGCGAACAGAUUCCAUAUCCACCUGAGUACUCUCGGAUUUCACGGAUACGGCGAAGAGAUAAGUCAGAUUUGCCCUUGCCCGUUUGGUCCUAUAAAUAGUUCCUUCUCGGGUACUCCUUCUCUAUCGCAUCAUUCUACAGCCCCAACUCCACUUUUCUAGCGGCGGCGCUGUUCGAGAGCUCCAAGAACUCCAACGAACCUCUCUCUUCAUCAACCUCAAAGUCUUCGAUCAUCUUUUUCGUGAGGAGAUGGCCAUCAACUUUGUUGUUCCCAAGGUCAGUUCAUCACCCUACCUCUUGUACUUUUACCAUAUCCUUGUUCAUCCGCAAUUUAUUUUACUGAACAUUCCCCUUUUUUUCUUUUGUUCUUCCUUUUUACCCCAAAAACCAUUAGGAUCUGUCCAAUAAAAUUGUCAUCCCUACCGAUCAGCCACACCUCCAAUGUCUUGGUCCGCUAGGGAACCCAGAUCCCACUGAUCUAAUCAACGCAGAAACAAAAGGAUCCCCUUUAGAGCCGAGAAUUUUUCCCUAGAUCUGUGGAAAGAUACCUUCCGUUCCUGGCCCAGUCCUACCGUGGGAUGGAAGGAUUGGUUCUUGAGAGUCAGCCAUUCGAAUGAGGUUCAGUGGGGUGAGCGAAAACUGGAUCAAUGCAUCAGGUUGUCCCUUGCCGAUAUGCAUAGGAAUGAGUCACUGCUGAUUGCUGCAUCAUAUUUCUGGUCAGACACACUUAAUGCCUUUGUCUUCGGUCAUGGCCCUGCUUCUCCCACUCUUGCCGAUGUGCUUAUGCUCACCGGCUUAGAUGUAUCCACUGCCGAUAGUAGCCACAUAUUUGAUACCACACCUAGUGCUAAGGUGGAAACCCGCACUAUCGGCGGCUGGUCUGGGUACAUUCAGAAGUACCGUAGGACGGGGCCUGUCAACAUAAAGGAACAAACCACCUUUCUGAACAUGUGGCUGGACAAAUUUGUGUUCUGCGGUCGAUCGGCAGGACCAACCUCUGUCUACCUAUCGGCAGUAGAGAGAUUAGCCAAUGGUGGCCGAUUUCCCCUCGGUCGAUACCUACUUGGCUCGGCUUACCACCUCCUCCAUCAAGUAGCCAGAAAACUCCUGCUCGGCGAACCCAUCGGCAACUUAGGGGGUCCCUGGUAGUUCAUCAAUAUGUGGCUUAGCCUCCAUAUGCAUAAGCGUCUUGAGUUCAACCUCUUCGCACAACGCUUCUCCAGGGACAUAGCCGAGGAUUAUGAAUCGGAUGAAGAAGAAUCGGCAACUCGUCCUCCUCUGAACUUUGACGAGGCUGUCAUAGUUCUGCCUGGCACAGGUGGCAACGCAGACCAGGUCAGCCGAUUCUUCCAGACCUUGUACGAAGGCCUGACCAGAGAACAGCGAGCAUGGAUGCCUUAUGAAGAUCUAGACACCAUAUUUCCCUUGGUCUUCCCUCCGUUCAAUGAUGCUCUCAACAAGGAUCACGAUGUGAUGAUUUCACUGAUCACUCCCAGAGCUAUACCAGUAAACUUCUUUGGCAGUGGGAAAGCCUCCAACCAGACCUAUGAGUUUUACAACCCAUCGGCAUUAGCCCGUCAACUAGCUUUCGGUCAGCUGCCGAUCGCACUCUGUUAUGCCGAUGUGAUAAAACCCAGGGAAACUAUCACCAGUCUUCUCGAGUGGACCAGGAUAGCUCAACUGCCACCGAGUGCCGAUACAGAUGCAGAUCUAUCAGAGUGGGUUCCGACUCUCUUCAUUACUCAGGCGUAUAAACAAUGGUGGGAGGAAUGGAAGGACCACUUAUUCUGCAAAUCAGCUCUUACGUACCGCGGUAUGAUCGAUCCUCAGUACCAAGUCCCUGAUAAUACUGUAAGUAUCUCAAUACCGAUGUUUUAAUUUCUUCACUGUCCUUUUCAAUCGGUAACCCCCUUUCUUUGUCAUACACAGGUUGAUGACACGCCACCAUCGGUCAGCAGGACUGGCAAGCCGAUUGAGCUUUUUCCAUCAGGUCUGAUCUCCUCAAUCGGCAACAAUGCUCCCACCUUGGCUUCCAUAAUGCAUCGAGGUGUGCGCCUCAAGAAAGUCACCACUAAGCGGACAAAGACAUCUCCAUCGGUAGCUGCCUCCACCUUAGCACAGGCCUUCAAGGUAACUGUUCAAACUCUUUCAUCCAUACCGAUUCCAUUCUUGCAUCUGUUGUAUUUGUACUCACAAAUUUUCAUUGUUGUACCAGCACACCAGCACAUCGACAAAGACCAGAAGUAUGACUGCCGAUGCCCCCCAGUCCAUUCAACAGAAGAGGAAAGGCUCCAAGAGCACCAGAUCACAAGCAAAGCGCCAGAGGACAGCAACACCUUCUCCUCCCCCAGUAUCACCGAUCCUGGUGGAAUCUUCUCCCUCUUCUCCAGAAACCCAGAUACAACAGGUAACACCUCCUUCUCAGCCACAAGAAGCACCCCAAGUGGAAGAACCCCAGCUAGAAGUAAUUCAGCCAGAAGACACAUCAGCUGACGUGCAUGAGCAAACUACCGAUCCAGCAAGUUCAAUUAUAGCAUCUGUAGUUUCUUCCAUCCAAACAAGUACUGCUCCCUCUCAAGGUAACACACUUUCUAUGAAAUCACUGCCGAUGAACCUACUUUCUUUGUCUUAUAAUUAUCUUUGUUAUUCUUUCAGCUGACAUAGUCCUAUCGGCAACCCCAGCCGAUCAGCCUGUGGUUCCAUCGGCAUCUUCUAGUCAGAGGCAAGAGAUUGCCCUGAAACAAGUAAGCCAUCCAAUCUCUAUCAGUAUUAUUUGUCAAUGCUUGACCAUAGAAUGACUCACUUCAUUUCUUUUUUAGGAACAGGACUCUCCCGAUAGCUUGUUCUCCUUUGCCAUCGACAUCUCUGAAGAUGAAGGCGCGGAGACAAGUUCUUCCCGAGCAGUCAGAAUUACAUCUGGCAGAAAAAUCCAGGGCCCAAGUUUCAGAAACCGACAUUCUCAUUUCCAGGGCCCCCCUAACGCUAUCCGGAUCAAGCAACAAUCAUGCAUGCCAAUUGGUUGAUGACUCCGACCCAGCCAAGGCUUUGUUCAAGACCCUCAGAGGCCAAAUUCCUGCCGAUGCUGAAGAAAUCCUUUUUCAAGCUGCACAUCUAGAGAGCCGUCAGCUGCAGUAUCAAAAGGCUACCCAGCGUCUUGCCGACAGAGCUGCUCAGACUCAACUUUCUGAGGAGAUGAUGAAAGUGAAGUUCCUUGCCGAUGAAAAGCACAAGAACAUCGGCAUCUUAAAGUCCUCAGGAGAUGCGUUGAAGCACAAGAACUCUGAUUUGUCGGCAAAAAGAGAAGCCCUGUUGGCAGAAUUCAAGCAAGUAGAAGAAGCCUUGUCCCAAGCUCAACAAGAGGAAAACCAGCUGCCUGAGGCGAUCAAACUCCUUGAACAAGAGCGAAAUGUCCAUGGCCAUAAAGUGCUGUAGAUGAAGAAGAAGUUGAAGCUGGUGGAAGGCUCUGCCGAUGAAGAUAUCAAAGAGAUAGAAGCAGCCAACCAAAUCCGCCUGCGCGCUAUAUCGGCGAUCCAGGCGCUGUUGAAUAUGUGAAUUCUUCAUCGGCGGCAUACUUGCUCUUUCCUUUUGAACACUCUUAAUAUUUUGGUCUAGCCGAUAGGAUUGUUAUCGGCACUUUAAAAACAUCAAGUCCGUCCCUAGAUACAUUUUGAUCCAGCCGAUAGGAAUGUUACCGGCACUUAAACUUUUAUGCAUCGACCCAUAUGCUUGGGUAAUACUUCUUUAGAUAUUUGCCAUUUAAUGCUCUGGGAAAUUCUACUCCUUCAAGAGUUUGUAAAAUAUAAGCGUUACGAGGAGCCGAUCGACUUAUCCGAUAGGGACCCUCCCAAUUGGGAGACCACUUCCCAAAUUUUGAACUUUUAGUCCCGAUCGGUAAGAUUAGUUUCCAUACUAAGUCUCCAUCGGCAAACUCCUUAGCUUUUACCUUCUUAUCGUACCAUCUGGCAACUCUCUUCUUAUUCUCUUCUAUACUCAUCAAAGCCCUUAGCCGACGCCCUGCUAGAUCAUCCAACUCGUCUGUCAUCAAAGUAGCAUAAUCAUCGGCAGCCAAUUGAUCUUGAAAAGAUAGUCGACUAGACCCAGUCUUAAUUUCCCAAGGUAACACUGCAUCAUGCCCAUAUACCAACUGAUAAGGUGAAACUUUGGUCGACCCAUGACAAGCCAUCCGGUAUGACCAUAAAGCUUCAUUUAACAACGCGUGCCACCUCUUAGGAUUUUCUUCAAUCUUUCGUUUAAUAAGCUUGAUAAUUCCUUUGUUAGACGCCUCGGCCUGCCCAUUGGCUUGAGCAUAAUAAGGAGAAGAAUUCAACACUUUAAUCCCCAUACCGAUUGCAAACUCAUCAAACUCCCCUGAUGUAAACAUAGUGCUCUGAUCGGUAGUAAUUAUUUGAGGAAUCCCAAAUCGGUAAAUAAUAUGCUCCUUCACAAAAUCAAUCAUAUUGGCCGAUGUGACUUUCUUCAAAGGAAUAGCCUCAACCCACUUAGUGAAAUAAUCGGUGGCAACCAGAAUAAACUUAUGCCCUUUGCUAGAUGGUGGAUAAAUCUGGCCGAUCAAAUCAAUAGCCCAUCCUCGGAAUGGCCAAGGCUUUAUGAUAGGAUUCAUAGCCGAUGCAGGUGCCCUUUGAAUAUUACCAAACUUCUGACAUCCCUGACACCCUUUGAAAUAUUUAAAGCAAUCCUCAAGUAUAGUCGGGCAAAAAUAUCCAUUCUUCCUAAUCAUCCAUUUCAUCUUAAAAGCCGACUGAUGUGCUCCACACACUCCUUCAUGGACUUCUCCCAUCAAACUUCUAGCUUCAUCAUCACCUAGGCAUCGGAGAAGAAUUCUGUUGACGGUCCUUAAGUAUCAAAUUUAAUUAUCAAAUAAAUAAAGAAAAGGAUCCAAAUGAAAUAAAGAUCUAGACUUAGGGUUUUAUCUGACAGAAUUCCACGAGUUUUGGUGUUUGUCUAUUUCUGCAGGGAGUUAUCAGGAAAUAUGGAAGAAAGGCCCACAUGUCAGGAUUACGUAAAGAUAUUAACGUGCUGCGCAAUUAUCUUACAUCUAGAAGACUCCAGAAGCCACGAGACCGAAGCGGAGGCGAAACGGGGCCAGACCCUGGGCGGCCGCCUAGUUGGUCAGGGCGCCCGCCCACCUCUGGAGUCCAAUCAGGACUCUGCUUUGCGGGAAGUCUCCACCGACCUAAAGGAUGAAUCUAAACCAUACAAUCUAUGUCGGUUUGAUCCAAGGGCUCAUAUUCACUUGAAGGGACUAUAAAACCAGACCCCAUGGCCCAUGGAGGAGAGAGCCUCUCAACCCUAAUUCAUUGUUCCAUCAAGGGAGAAGAAGCCUCUGAUCAAGAUUAGAUCCACCACAUCAAUUAGAUAUCUAGAUUAGCAUAGCUACAUAGGAUUAGAACUAGAAGGAGUUAAUCUUCGAUUGGUUUCCAGAUCUGUCAGGAGGAUUCUUGGUAAUUCUCUAAUUGUGCUUCUAAUUGCUUUCUAAUUAUCUUUGUUCUUCAAUAUUAUAAAUAUGACUUUGUUCUACUUCAAUAUAUUGCUUAUGACUUUGCUCUACUUGCUUAUAUUCAAGAUUAUAUUGUUCUUAGUUUAUCAUAGUUAUGUACUUGGCUUAGUUAGAUACGAUCUAUAUACAUGCUUAGGAUCGUAUAGCGUUUAUCCAUCGGAUCCAUGGGUAAAUGAUAGAUAUUGUGUAGGCGUGGUGCUUAUACCGUAUUUAUCUGCGAUUGUACCCAAUAUGCCAGAUCGUGGGGUAGUUCGUGAUAGUGACAGCUUCAUUGAUUCUUAUAUAGUCCCCCUCUCGUGUAUUGGGCUGGCAGAGCAACAUUAUUACAGGGGAGUGAUUGCUAUGUUUCUCAUAUUCCUUGCUAAUGUCACUAUGCAUGGGCGUAGUCUUGUCUCGCAAUGAUUGCUAAGUAUGCUUGCACUAACUAUGAUAUGCUAGACUAUAUAGUUAAGAAUAACAUAGGAAAUAUUCUUGUAGUUUGUUCUAAUACCAUGCUAAUGACUUUCUAGAGUAUCUAAUUGAGGUGCUUAUCAUAUUUAUUAUGUGGCUAGAUCAGAUUAGUUAUCCUUGUCACUAUUAUCAUUUCAUAUAUCUUUUAUGUGACACUUAUCCCUGUAUGAAGAGUUAGAUAUAAUGUUCUCAAUUAUACAUGCAAUGAUAGAUACUCAAUCUCAUAUUCGAUUCUAUAAUCAACAUUGAUGAUUGCUAAUCCCUUCCCAGUGGUAAAAAUAUAAAUAACGAUACAAGGAAUACUUCCCGGUUAAAAUGCUGCAUCGGUAUUAAUCUGUGCGCUUGGAGAUCCCAUUCAUUAUUUAUUUAGAAGAGCAAUUGCAUAUUUCAAUACCGCGUCUCUUAUAUCAUGCUGGGGAUGACAACUUGGCUUAAGUGGUGUAAGGGAUAGGUUUGGCAUUUUUGGCACCGUUGCUAGAUUUAGAACUUAGUCUACUUUUAGUAAUGAUGUUAAGAAUACCCAACAAAUUCCAUCAAUAGUUCGAUAAUACAAUUCAUCUUUGAGGAGCACAUACUUGGUUGCUUGAAAUCGAACUCGUCUUUCAACUUUCUUAGAUGGAUCUUUCAAAUAAUCAAUAAUUUCUUCCCUCCAAUCAUCGGCACUGACUGCCGAGACUGCAUUUAUCAUGGGCUGAUAUCCCGAGGCAUGCUGAGCCAACCGAUUGGCCUCUUCAUUAUGCAAUCGAGGAACAUGCUCUAAUCGGAAGUCCUUGAAUUCUUUUAACAGUUGCAUACUCCUUUCGUGCUAAGUUAUCAAGACUUCGCUUCAGCAUUCAUAGCUUCUAGCCAAUUGAUUUAUAACCAGCAUAGAAUCUCCAAAGAUUUCAACAGCAUCAGCAUGAACUUCCCUUAGUAAUUCCAACCCCUUUAUCAAAGCCUGAUACUCAGCUUGAUUAUUCGUUGACGUGGCAACAAUCGGCAAGGAAAGCUCGUACUUCCUUCCCCGAGGGGAAAUUAACACUAUGCCGAUUCCUGCCCCCCGGUCACACGUGGAUCCAUUAAAGAAGAGUGUCCAAGGUACAAUUUCCAAGGUUUCCACUGUACCGCAAUGUUGAGUUACAAAAUCGGCCAUAAUCUGUCUCUUAAUCGCUUUAGCCGAUUCGUAACGCAAGUCGAAUUCCGACAGUGCCAAAAUCCACUUACCGAUCCUGCCACUCAUGAUCGGCAUAGACAGCAUAUAUCAGACCACAUCAUCUUUGCAUAUGACAGUGCAUUCGGUCGAUAACAAAUAGUGUCUCAACUUAAUACAUGAGAAAUAAAGACACAAACAUAACUUUUCAAUGGCCGAGUACCUGGUCUCAGCAUCAAUCAAUCUCAUGCUUAAAUAGUAAAUCACACGCUCCUUUCCUUCAAAUUCUUGAAUUAAAGCCGAACCGAUGACCAUCCCAUCGGUAGACAAAUACAACCUGAAGGGCUUUCCUUGCUGAGGUGGAAUCAAAACUGGAGGGUUUACCAGAUAAUUCUUGAUUUCAUCUAAGGCCAAUUGCUGCUCUUUCCCCCAGACAAACUCUUGAUCGGCAUUCAACUUAAGUAAAGGACUGAAAGCACGAAUUUUACCAGAUAAAUUAGAUAUAAACCUCCUGAUAAAAUUUACCUUGCCCAUCAAGGAUUGGAGCUCAGUCUUGUUGGUAGGGGCAACUAUUUUGUUGAUAGCAUCAAUGGAUCUCCGACUAAUUUCAAUCCCCCUUUGAUGCACCAUGAAACCAAGAAAUUGUCCUGCCGAUACACCAAAUGCACACUUAUUGGGAUUCAUCUUUAAACCAUGCUUCCUUGUGCAUUCCAACACUUUUCGCAAAUCGACAAGAUGCUUUGUGAAGUCUCCAGACUUCAACACCACAUCAUCAAUAUAAAUUUCUACCAGCUUGCCGAUGAACUCAUGAAAUAUAAAAUUCAUAGCCCUGUGAUAAGUAGCACCAGCAUUUUUCAAACCAAAGGUCAUGACUAUCCAUUCAAACAACCCAACAUGACCAGGACAUCUAAAUGCAGUCUUUAGAAUAUCUUCCUCAGCCAUGAAUAUUUGAUUGUAUCCUGCAUUGCCAUCCAUAAAGCUGAUAAUCCGAUGCCCAGCCGCGGCAUCAACUAGCAAAUCGGCAACUAGCAUUGGGUAGCCAUCCAUCGGUGUAGCUUUAUUAAGAUUUCUGAAAUCAAUGCAGACCCGAAGUUUCCCAUUUUUCUUAUAAACCGGAACAACAUUGGAAAUCCACUCGGCAUACCGACAUUGCCGAAUAAAUUUAGCUUCAAUAAGUUUGGUUAUUUCGGCCUUAAUAUCAGGAAGAAUAUUCGGAUUACAUCGGCGAGCUGGCUGUUGAUGUGGUCGAAAUCUAGACUUGAUAGGCAACCGAUGUUCAACAAUUGAUCGGUCCAAACCAGGCAUCUUAGUAUAAUCCCAAGUAAAGCAAUCUUUAUAUUCCUUUAACAAAUCAGUUAACUGUUGCUUACACUCAGAAUUUAAUUUAGCACUAAUAAAAGUAGGUCUAGGCUUAUCACCACUACCUAUGUCUACUUUUACCAAAUCAUCGGCCGAUGUGAACCCCUGGCCUAUCUUUCCAUCAUCGGCGAACCUAUCCAUUCAAAACCUUCACCAGAACCGACUGCUUGGAUCGGUGGAAUUUCGUAAUCGGCAACUUUGAGAAAAUCCUUUUCCCAAACUUCUCCUGAAAUACACCUAGUUCUUUCGUAGGUGUCUGCCUCUGCCGAUGCAAUAACAUAGGAAGAAUCUCCCGGGACAAUCUCGAUCUUGUCACCUACCCACUGGACCAAGCACUGGUGCAUUGUAGACGGAAUGCAACAAUUGGCAUGAAUCCAAUCUCUUCCCAACAGCAAGUUAUAAGCACCUUUUCCACUGAUUACAAAGAAAGUUGUCGGUAAGGUCUUACUGCCGAUAGUCAACUCAACACAGAUAGCUCCCUUAACCGGAGACACAUUCCCUUCAAAGUCUUUUAGCAUCAUAUCGGUCUUGGUCAAAUCCUGAUCUCCUUUUCCAAGCUUCCGAUACACUGCAUAUGGCAUGAUAUUGAUAGCAGCCCCACCAUCAACUAAAAUCUUGGUCAUCGGCUGACCAUCCACUCUUCCUUUGACAAACAGAGCCUUAAGAUGUUGCCUUUCAUCAUCGGCAGGCUUUUCGAAGAUGGCUGUCAUCGGAUCCAGAGCGAACUGAGCUAUUUGGUCAGAAAACUCCAACUCAUCAUCACUGGACGAUGCAAGGAAUUCCAUCAGCAACAUAAAUACCAUGUUAACAUCUGCCGAUGGACCUUUUCCUUUAAGAUCUGAUUGUUGCUGACCCCCAAAUUGACCAGAGUUCUCACCCUUGCUUAGCUCUUCUCGUCUUUCGCGCUGCAAUCUUCUCUUCUAUGUCCUAGUCAACCCCUCUGGACACCAUGGAGGGAGUUGUUGCUGCCUUACCGAUGGGCGACGGUUUUCCCUUGACUCCAUCCAAUAAGUGUUAGCGUCCCUGCAAAAUAUGAACUAAUCGGGAACCCGGGCAUUAGCCAUUUCCUCAAGCUCUUCCUGAUUCCUAGGAAAAUAUUCAACUCGAUCUCCAAGCCUGUCAUGCACACUGAGUCUACCCCCCAGUCGAUCAUGAACCGAUGCUCUCCCCCUAAUCGGUCCAUCAAACCUGCGGUUAUUGUUCUGAUACUGCCGAUUUGAUCUGUCAUACCAAUCAUAACCAUUACAUUCUGGGCAGUCUCUGACAGUAGGAAGCUUGAUAUUUUCCUCCCAACAAUGAAUGAAGAACGGGCAAUUCCAGUGAUCCCUGUGCCGAUUCCACUCUUGUCGGCGUCUUUCUUCUUCCCGAUGAUAAUCUUCUUGCUGGCACCGAUACCGAUCCUCACGUUGCUACCAAGUCUCCCGAGGCCUUCUAUGAGUUAUGACAAUACUAGAUCGGGGAGGCCUUCUCGAGUUAGUUCCCUCCUGGAUCAAGCCUUUUCCUUUUGCAUCGGCAGUAGUGAUCUGAGGCUGAGGAUCCACCGAUGCACUUCUUUCAGCUGCUUCCGAUGUCAAGACCUUGGCCUUUCCCUUAGCAUCCAACAUGUUUGUUGGGAAAGGAUGUUGAUCAAUCUUCAUCGGCUUCUGAGUUUUGGAGCUAUCAAAUUUGAUCCUCCCAGAUUCUAUAGCCGAUUGCAGCUGCUGUCUAAAAACUUUGCACUCAUUGGUGCUGUGAGAAGUUGCAUUGUGCCAUUUGCAGUACUUCAUCUUUUUUAAUUCUUCAGCCGAUGGGAUCACAUGAUUGGGUGACAACUUGAUUUGCCCCUCCUAAAGUAGAAAGUCAAAUAUCCUAUCGGCUUUAGUGAUGUCAAAUGCGAACUUCUCUGGCUCUUUAUGCCCAAAGGGGCAAGACAUCGGCUUCUUAUUCUUUACCCAUUCUGCCAAGUCGAUGACUGGCUCCUCAUCAGAGUCUGAGCUUGCUGCCUCGUCCACAAAUGAUACCUUUUUGUUCCAUGCUCUCUUGGGCUCAAAAGGCCUGAUAUCCUGAUCAGAAAUUCUCUGCACCAAAUGACUUAAGCUUUCGAACUCUUGAGAUGCAUACUUGUCCCUGAUAUGCGGCAACAAACCUUGGAAAGCCAAAUCGGAUAGCUGCCGAUCAUCCAAAACCAGACUAUAGCAUUUGUUCUUGACCUCACGUAUUCUCUGCACAAAACUUUCAACCGAUUCAUCAUUGCGUUGCUUCAAUUUGACCAAAUCGGUGAUCUUCUUCUCAUGGACUCCAGAAAAGAAGUAUUUGUGGAAUUGUUUCUCUAGAUCGGCCCAAGUAAUCAGUGAGUUAGGAGGUAAUGAUAUAAACCAAGUGAAAACCGAUCCAGAUAAUGAUGACGAGAACAAGCGAACCCUUAACUCAUCCCUGUUAGCAGCUUCUCCACACUAAAUGAUGAACCUGUUGACGUGCUCCAUGGUCGAUGUAUCAUCCUGCCCAGAAAACUUAGUAAAAUCCGGCACUUUGUACCGAUUCGCAAGCAGGAUUAAAUCAUAUGCAGGAGGAUACAGUGUCCGAUAAGAGUAAGUGUUGACUUUGGGUUUUAUCCCAAAUUGGUCUCUCAUUACUUCAGCAAUCUUAUCGACCCAAUAAGCAUCGGCAUCUUGCCGAUGAGGCGGUUGUGGAUCUGGGAUCUGCUGAUAUGCUUCCACGUGUCUAUGUGGUGCGCGAUCUGCAUGGAACAUUGGAUUAAUCAUCUGGCCACCAACCUGCUGACCACCGAUCUGCUGACCACCAAUCUGCUGCCCAAGAUUCAUUGGCUGGUUGGGCAACCCUUGAUUCUGGAACCCAGGGUAGAUCUGGCCUUGCUGAAACCCUGUAGUUUGAUGAUGCUGUUGGGGCAUUUGUGGAAAGACUUGCUGCUUAGGCCAUCCACUAUUAGCAUUCAUCGGCAUAGGACCAGCCGAUGACUGGUAAUUGGGCAUCAUCAUCGAAUUGACAUACCCUGGCUGAGUCAUAAACCUCUGUUGCGUCAGCAUUGAAUCUGCCGAUGCAUUAGGCAUCUGGAACGUUGGAGCUUGAGAAUUCCCAGUGUAAGGCCUUGCGGUAGUGGUUGUAGUAUACUGGGACUCUGAUUCAUCGGCAUAUUUGGAGGUGCCGAUGCCAUAUGAGCCUUGCCUCUCACAUCAGCCGUCUGAGAUAUACCAGGUGUCUUCAACGUCAACUCUAGAGGCAUACCAUAACCCCACCAGUUAGGAGGAGGGACCGAUCCCGACAUUGCCGAUGCCAAUAGAUCUGUAGCAAGCUUAAUCUGCCCAUCUGAAGUCGAUGGAUUGGUUGUCAUCGGCAUAGAUUGUGCAUUAGUGACUCCUAACGUGCUUGGAGGAACAGUAGUUUCUGUACCCGCAGCGGCUGUAGCAGCCGAUGGAGCUGUAACCACCGGUGAUCCUGGCUGAUGAUGAGACGGGCCCACAUAAUUUGGUGGCAAUUGUCCUUCUUUGAAAGUUCUAGCCAUGGCAUUAAAAACCGUAUUGGACAACACAACAGCUUGAUUGAUCAAGGCACGGUUAAUAGUAUUAUCAACCAUGUCUUGAAGUUUACCAGGAUUGGCUUCAAAAGUAACCUGCCGAGGCAUCGGCAGUGCUUCCUUCUGGAUCACCUCGCCGCUCCUAUUUAUGCUGAAGGCCUUGAGACAUUGUUGCUUGUAAUCCUCCAUAGCCUUCGCAAUAGCUUGCUUCUGCUCAUCUUUGAGGCUAGCUUCUGUCACGGGGAUGACGUUCUCCAAGUCGAACUCGGUAGUCGACAUGGUGAUCUUGAUCUUGAAUAAAGUCCCACUGGGCGUGCCAAAAGAUGUGUUGAUGCAAAAGCUAGAUCUGCAAACACAAAGGGCUAAUACCUGAUUCAAACGUUAAGGCGUGGUAGCCGAUUUGACCUUACUAUCGGCAAAGGUGAUAACUUCAAUACUUUGGUCCCGACAACAGCGAUGCGCCCGGAUGCCACGGCUAAGAGGUAUUCACGCGGAACUCGAGAAUACGCCGAGCUUAAGUCGACGAACUUCUAAGAACACGUAAUGAAAAGGAAAAUAUGACGAAGUCGUCGAAAAAGUAGAUGCUGGAAUAUGAGUAAAAACUUGUGUUUGAUUGAUUGAUAGAUAUCUCGAUUACAAGGCCUUAGGGUCUACAUUUAUACCCUGCUCAAAGAGCUACAAUCAGACACGGCUAGAACUUUGAAUUCCAAAUUAAACAGAAUCCGUAUACAAAAUGAUUUAAAUAACUAAGGAAAACAUAAAACUAUCCUCCCGUGACAAACUAGGACACCACCACAGGCAAAUCGGCAACCUUCAGGUUCCUCUUCCGAAUCAUCGGCAAACCCCUCAUCGUAGCCAUCAGCACAGGUUAACGCUGACCACCGGCAUAAACAUAUCACCACCCAUAGACUUAGUCACAUUCAGCGGUCCAUUCAUCGGCAACCACCCUCAUCGGCAACUCUCCUGCAGAUCAGUUACUGUUGCCCUAUCUUGCCGAUCUACAUUCUACCGAUCCUGGGUACGUGUCCAAAAACGGUGUCAACACCAGCAGACUUCGUGGUAAUAGAGACCGGUAAUGAUGAGAGGGCACCCAUCAUCUUAGAGAGGCCAUUCUUAAACACCUCGGGAGCUGUCAUCUAUGCUAGUGCUGCCAAGAUCAGUUUAUACAUCAAAGGGAAGAAGGAGACGUUUUCCUUCAAGAACAAGACUACACAAAUCCCAGAUCAAUCCAGACGUGAAUCAAGGAAGAGGACCAACAGGAGGAACAGGAACAAGCAAGUGUGGACCAAGUCAGCUAAGAUGGUCACUACAGUUCAUGGAGGUCAAGAUCAUCGACUUAAGUCACUGUUUUUGACCAAGAAGGAUGACCCAGGAAUGCCAAGCAUCUAUUGCUCCAUAAAUGGAUACAACUUCUACAAGACGACUUGCGACACCGGAUCAGGCGUCAACAUAAUGGCCGCAGUCACCUAUCGGCUCUUGUUCGGAACCAUGCCCCUAAAACCAACAUACAUUCAGCUCCAGAUGGCAGAUCAGACAUUUCGAGAGGUUAAAGGAAUAGUAACUGAUGUCCCUGUCAAAAUAGACGAUCAUUUUGUCUACACAGACUUUCAGGUUAUUGACAUGGGAGAAGACGAAUACGAUCCACCCAUCAUCCUUUGAAGACCGUUCCUCAGCACCGUUAAAGCAAUCAUCUACAUUGGAACUGGAGAAGUCCAUAUGCACUUCCCCUUAGAGAAGGUAUGCCGCUAUUUUACUGACCCUAACUAUAUCGUUGAAGACUCUAAGCAGGUCAGAAAACGACGCAACCACAACCAGAGGAGGGAAAUCAUCAAGGACGGAUGGGCAGACUACGAAGGAGAAGUUAUAAGGUCAGAAGACAUACAGUUUAAACAAAAUUAUCCAGAGGAGACCGUAGCACCGAGUCAGGUGUGAAAAGAGAAGAUAACCAUACAUGAAGAGGAGGCGCCGCCGGAAGUACCGACUCCGCCACCCAACAAAUCCCAGGACAAUUGAGAAAACGGAGAGUCCCGUUCAGAGGACUUAAAAACACUGAACGCCUUGUCAAGAGAUAAACUUGGUAGUUAUCCUUUUCCCUUUCAAUUAUUUAAAAUAGUUUGCUUAGUUAAUCAUGUUCAGACUAUCCUAAAAAGAAAAUAAAAAUGUUAAAAAACAGUAAGCCCCAUGUGAGUAUAUGAGUGGCAUGAAACCCCUAAGUACAUUCACUGUGGUGGCAUAAAAAUAAAAUAAAUAUUUCUUUUCUGCUUUAUAAAACAAAAAUAUAAAAAAAUAGGGAGUAAUAUUUAUUAAGGAGUCUCAACAUGAUAAAGGCUAGAUAUUUAUACUAACACUUAAUCAGUUCCACAAAGCUUUGUUGUCUAUUUGAGCUCCGUGGAAUUUAAGAAUCGAGAAGACUAGCAGACGGAGGACAUUCUAAUCGCUGUCAAGAUGCUGCUGACUUUCAAAUACACCUCUGCCACCUGCUAGCUACAUCAAGAGAAAUUACGUCAAAAUUCAGCUUGGGGGAGAGCACCCCCAUUUAUCCCGUUAAGUAUUUCUAUCUAUCUUUAUACUUAUACUAUAUUAAAAUAUAGAUAUAAAUAACUAUGGAAAACCAAAUAAAGAUUUUAUGCUUAUAUAUAUAUAUCUUUUGCUUAGUUUAAUAAAUAAAUAAAGUGGCUAUGCUAAUCUGAAUCUUAAUAAUAAAACUCUAUCAUGGAUAUGAUGAAUAGUUGCUCUGCCUAAUUUUUAAAAUUUGAAGUUCUCUCUCAAGUUUAGACAUAACUGUUAUAAUUUAAAGCUUGCUCUAAACCUAAACUUGUGGGAAGAAAACUUGAUCUGAAGUCUAAGUUGUUAACGGAUAUGAUAUGGGAAGGUUGAGCUGCUGUUUAUCUGUUCCUAGAGAUGCUAGACUUCUGGAGAAUUUUAUUUUUGAAAUCUUGAAAAUAUUGCAUGAUGAGUUCCUGUAUGAUGAGAGUUUAAAUUCCUACCACAGCCAUAUAUACAUGCUUGCUAGACUUUGAGCCACACAUUUACUUACUGCUUAUGAGCAUUGAGUGUGGUCAAGCAGCGUAGACCCUUAGGAGCUUGUCAUGUGGUUAAAAUCAAGAUUCACUUGCACGUUCACUCACACAUCUUGCUUCUACUCCGGAAGUACCAUCCACAUAUAUCCACCAAUUUCCAUCUCCAGAACCACCCAAAAACAUUCUACUCCUAAUCCGGGAAAGAAUGACCAAAAACAUUUAUGUUUUUCCUCUGUGAAAUAAAUGCUCAAGUUAUCUUGUUACUACCACUUGCUAUAUUAUCUCAAAAGAUGAGUGCUCUAAAAAAAGAGAGAAAAGAAAAAAAAGAGAUACGAGGAAAUAAAAAGGGACAAGUGCCCGGAACCUCGAAACAAAAGAAAAAGUGAGACGAGAGGUAAAAAUGGACAAGUGUCUGACAGUAGAAUUAGGGGUAAAGAUAUCCACCUAAGAGGAAAGAAAAAAGAAAAUAUAUAUUGCAUCUCAUUCUCCUCACAAAGUUUCAAAAAGCAAGAAAGGUAUGCAUCCCCUCAAAGAGCAAAAGUAGAAUUAGACUUUCACCAUUGUUAUCACCAUUAUCAUUACCAUACGCCAUUCAUUCGCCACACAUGCACAUCUUGAUUUGACUUAUUGAUUUGUUUCUUUGGAUCCAUGGUUUGACUAUACAAUAAAUGUCUUGUGAGUAUGUAUAUUUUAUCUCCCACCUAUGAGCUCCAGAUAUUAAAGCCUUAUUAGAGUAGGGUGAGAGAGAAGGCAAUGUCACUAUGCCCUAUACCACAAAUACUACAUAUCUUGAGAGAAGCCAUAUACCAUCACUGCCUUGGUAAGGAUCCAGAAAUACCACAAAAGAGAGAUCUGAGAGAGUCAUACAAGGAAUCUCUGAGUUUUAUUUGAAAAUCUGAAAAAACUCUAGAGCUAUAGCUGAUCAAGAAUAAGAGACAUGGCACUUGACUAGACUGUUCUAUCUUUUAACUACUCAAGAUAGAAGUGACGGUUACAAGUCCAAUGGUGAAAGGUAUUGCAACAACUUCUGAUCCAUUACUGAGUCUAUCCUUGCUUAGGGACGAGCAAGAGGUAAGCUUGGGGGAGUUUGUUGACGGUCCUUAAGUAUCAAAUUUAAUUAUCAAAUAAACAAAGAAAAGGAUCCAAAUGAAAUCAACAUCCAGACUUAGGGUUUUAUCUGACAGAAUUCCACGAGUUUUGGUGUUUGUCUAUUUCUGCAGGGGGUUAUCAGGAAAUAUGGAAGAAAGGCCCACACGUCGGGAUUACAUAGAGAUAUCAACGUGCCGCGCAAUUAUCUUACAUCUAGAAGAUUCCAGAAGCCACGGGAAGGAAGCGGAGGCCGAACGGGGCCUGGCCCUGGGCGCCCGACACCUCCUGGAGUCCAAACAGGACUCUCUUUCGGGAUUGAUCUCCACCGACCUAAAGGAUCAAGGAUAACCGUUCAAUCAAUGUCGGUUUGAUCCGACGGCCCAUAUUCACUUGGAAGGACUAUAAAACCAGACCCCCUGGCCCCUGGAGGAGAGAGCCUCUCAACCCUAAUUCAUUAUUCUCAAGGGAGAAGAAGCCUCUGAUCAAGUGCCAUGUCUCUUAUUACAUGGGAGUGAUUACGAUGUUUCUCAUAUUCCUUGCUAAUAUCACUAUGCAUGGGCGUAGUCUUGUCUCGCAAUGAUUGCUAGGUAUACUUGCACUAACUAUGAUAUGCUAGACUAUAUAGUUGAGAAUAACUUAGGAAAUAUUCUUGUAGUUCGUUCUAAUACCAUGCUAAUGACUUGGUAGAAUAUCUAAUUGAGGUGAUUAUCAUAUUUAUAUGUGGCUAAGUUAUGCUGAUCAGAUUAAUUAUCUUUGUUACCAUUCAUUACUUUAUAUAUCCUUUAUGUGACACUUACCCCU
RNAcentral lists this long non-coding RNA (20807 nucleotides) under Sorghum bicolor (sorghum). Its description in RNAcentral is "long non-coding RNA (SBIC_LNC017240)". Lineage: Eukaryota; Viridiplantae; Streptophyta; Magnoliopsida; Poales; Poaceae. The record is from RNAcentral.